Oncorhynchus kisutch (coho salmon) is the source of this 2358-nucleotide long non-coding RNA. RefSeq lists it as uncharacterized. The transcript has 3 exons. NCBI's taxonomy places the organism in Eukaryota, Metazoa, Chordata, Actinopteri, Salmoniformes, Salmonidae. The record is from RefSeq and is a predicted model, not a curated record.
CUGUAUAUAGGCCUAUGCUUAUACAUAAGCUCUAACAUGCAUAUGGAUGUUUUGAAUGAAUCAUCACCUUAGAAAGCGCUGUCCAUUUCGUGGUGUUAGGCUUUGAAACAACAUCCACAGCAACCUUGUUUUCCACUCAGUUUUAACCUGUUGUUGAACAUCUUUCUUCUUCAAAUUGAUCAUUCACCGUGAGGUGAGUUUUUAAAAGUACAUACUGUUUUGAUGAUAAGUGUUUGAUGUGAUUUUCAAUUGCAUUUGCAUCGAUGACAGAGUGGUUAGAGGGACAAUAGAGCCCCGCGUACCAGGCCAUUAGCGACCUGAUGAUGUCCAGAGUGCAUAAGAGGAGAUUACCUUGCCUCAACGGUCACGUAGAAUUUUACUGCGGUCAUGACUGCCGGUGUGGCGGUAAUACAGUCACCGCAACAGCUCUAACCAUGUCACAUAUGUGCAGAUAUGUGCAUCACGUCAUUGCUCUUUCUCUCUCUGCUGUGUCUACUGAGCUGUCGGGCCCCCCCCCUGCAACCUCAUUGGAUAAAGCUGGGCAGGCCUCUAACUAGUUGUCACUCAAAUGGGAGGGGCUGGAGCUCAUUGGCUUGAACUUGAAUUGCUAGGGGGCUGGCCCACGUGGGGGAGACAUGUAGGGAAAAUGGCGCGGCACAACUUCAAAAAAACAGUUGCUUUCAAACUAGGGAUUUUGUGGCUAAUUGAGUUAAAACAGUAGUUCUACAUGUAUGAACUACACAUUGACACAUCCCAGCCCAAAGCAGAGGUGUAAAACAUACUUAGUCGCCAAAGUACCGGAGCAUGUCUUUUAAUACCCAUACAAAUGUAGACCUCACAAUACAUACUCACACAGUACAGUAUGUUAAGUGCAUUACGUUUAUGCACAGCAUAUUAAUCUGCUCCACAUCCACACGCUCACAUCCAUCCACACCUAUUUUCAGUGGACAAUUGGAUAAAUGUAUUUUAAAGACCCAUUUGGAAGGAAAGUGACCAGAAAGAAACACAGAGGAAACAGUCACAGUACGGUGUUUCAGCUUGUCUGAUAGCUCCCUAGAUGCACUCUAGAUCAAAGAGUCUCCCGGGCCCCGUAUAAAGUCUCUGUUGUGAUAAGAGUUCAGCAUGACUGUGUUCCAGGACCUCACACAGACCCAUUACUCUAUCAAUACUGACAUCAAAAUCUCACCCGGGGUUGUCACUUAACUUCUCUCUGACGAAGAAAACGGCGUUCAAGUUUCGGAGCACUGUGUUUCGUAUGAUGAUGACGCCAGAGAAUGACUCGGUGUGAGUCAAGGGUAGUAGCCCACAUUAGACGGGAGUAAACACACAGAUUCCUCACGCGUCAAAGCACGACAUGUCAUUUGGUUAGGGAUGAUAUCAGAAUGUACAGAUAGAACCGUUCAGACUGAUGCAGAUGGACAGAAUGAGAGACACACCGGUUCUAAAAAAAUAAAAAACUGCUAACAAAUACUUCACUCUGCCGUUCGCAAUCCAUAUUCCAAAGCACUUCCCACAGACCUGGUGCUCUAAGAUCCCCGUUGGAUUUUAUGACACAGCAUGAGCAAAAUGAGAGUUGAGUUCAUAACACUGAUUUGUUUUGUUUGGGACUGUUAGGGCUACACAGCGCUUCACCUGGCCUCUAUACACGGACACCAGCACGUCAUCCAGCUCCUGAUCAACAUCUACAAUGCCAGAACUAACAUCAGGGACUACCAUGGCAAGCUUGCAGCCUAUUACUGGAGUGGCAAUGCUGAUGUGUUCAACAAACCAGGCUCGCAGUCAUGUGGGAAAUGGUCAUCAAAAGGAGGAAGAAAGGCCCAGCGCUACACCAACCUACCCUCUCUGCUCCUCUCUCGCUCGCGGAGCCAGGGGAACCUCAACAACCUGGAGUUUGGGCCUGCGCCUCAGACCCCACGGCCCCCCCGCUCCCCAUCCAGUAUAGACUUCCACAGCUUCCAAUCCCCACUGCUCUAUGGAGAUCAUUUCUGAUUAAAGAUAGAUAAUAAUUGUUUUAUUUUGCAUCCCAAAUGGCACCCUAUUCCCUAUAUAGUGCAUAUAUAUAUAUAUAUAUACACACACACACACACACACACACACACACACACACACACGCAAAAGGAGUGAACCAUGUAGGGAAUAGGGUGCCAUUUGGGACGUAAUCUUAUUUUUCUAUUACGAUCAUGGCUAUAUCAUGGCUAUAAAGUAUGAUUGGUCACUUCAGAGAAGCACAAAAGGAUUUGAUUGAUUGAAAGUUAAAGUUGUUCAACUGUCUGGCACAGGUCUCUCUCCUUACUAUGGAAUUUAGCAUGUACACUGAACAUAAAUAUGAACGCAACAUGUAAAGUGUUGGUCCCAUUU